UACGUAGGGUGCAAGCGUUGUCCGGAAUUAUUGGGCGUAAAGAGCUCGUAGGCGGUCUGUCGCGUCUGCUGUGAAAAUCCGGGGCUCAACCCCGGACUUGCAGUGGGUACGGGCAGACUAGAGUGUGGUAGGGGAGACUGGAAUUCCUGGUGUAGCGGUGGAAUGCGCAGAUAUCAGGAGGAACACCGGUGGCGAAGGCGGGUCUCUGGGCAGUAACUGACGCUGGAGGAGCGAAAGCGUGGGGAGCGAACAGG
This 254-nucleotide ribosomal RNA is filed under the name uncultured bacterium. Its description in RNAcentral is "partial 16S ribosomal RNA". It matches the Rfam family "Bacterial small subunit ribosomal RNA", at positions 524 to 776 of the family's 1533-position model. The record is from RNAcentral.